This 1175-nucleotide ribosomal RNA is filed under the name Rhodopirellula sp. RNAcentral describes it as "bacterial LSU rRNA". It matches the Rfam family "Bacterial large subunit ribosomal RNA", at positions 1 to 1187 of the family's 2925-position model. Lineage: Bacteria; Pseudomonadati; Planctomycetota; Planctomycetia; Pirellulales; Pirellulaceae. The record is from RNAcentral.
UGACCAAUCUACUAAGGGCGCAUGGGGGAUGCCUUGGCGUUAAGAGAAUGAAGGGCGUGGAAGUCUGCGAAAAGCCUGGGGGAGUUGACAAACAAGUAAUGAUCCCGGGAUUCCCAACUGCAGCCAGCUGAAUACAUAGGCUGGUUUGUAACAACCUAGUGAACUGAAACAUCUAAGUAACUAGAGGAAGAGAAAGAAAAAUCGAUUCCGUCAGUAGCGGCGAGCGAAAUCGGAAUAGCCCAAACCUCGGGGGUUUCCCCUGGGGGGUUGUAGGACUCCAAUGUUGGAUUGUGUGUUGCUAGUGGAAGAUUCUGGAAAGGAUCACCACAGAGGGUGACAGUCCCGUACACGAAAGUAAAUACACACCAUAGGAGCACCUGAGUAGGUCCAGUCACGUGAAACCUGGACUGAAUCCGCGGGGACCAUCCCGCAAGGCUAAAUACUCCUUAACGACCGAUAGUAAACCAGUAGCGUGAGUGAAUGGUGAAAAGAACCCCUGCUAGGGGAGGUAAUGAACCUGAAACCAUGUGCCUACAAGCGGUCGGAGCUCUAUGUCUCAGCUUGCUGAGAAAUGGGUGACGGCGUGCCUUUUGCAUAAUGAUCCGGCGAGUUGUGGUAUGCGGCUUGGUUAAGUCCUUACGGGACGUAGCCCAAGGGAAACCGAGUCUUAAUAGGGCGAAUUUGUCGUAUGCUGCAGACGCGAAACCUGUGUGAUCUACCCAUGAGCAGGUUGAAGCGCGGGUUAAACUGCGUGGAGGACCGAACCCACUUAGGUUGAAAACUGAGGGGAUGACUUGUGGGGAGGACUGAAAGUGUAAUCAAACCAGGAGAUAGCUCGUUCUCUCCGAAAUAUCUUGAGGGAUAGCGUCGAGUAAAUUAGUUACCGGGGGUAGAGAUACUGAAUCGGAUGGGGGCCCUUCCCAGGGUACCCCACCGAACCAAACUCCGAAUACCGGUCAACCUUACCUCGGCAGUCAGUCCCUGGGGGAUAAGCUCCAGGGUCGAGAGGGAAACAACCCAGAUCGCCUGCUAAGGUCCCGAAGGACCACUUAGUCACUAAGGAAGUUGAAGUGCCGUGACAGCUGGGAUGUUGGCUUAGAAGCAGCCACCAUUUAAAAAGUGCGUAACAGCUUACCAGUCGAGCAUUUCUGCGCCGAUAAUGAACGGGAGUAAGU